UAACGCGUGGGUAACCUGCCUCAUACAGGGGAAUAGCAGCUGGAAACGGCUGAUAAAACCGCAUAAGCGCACAGUGCCGCAUGGCACAGUGUGAAAAACUCCGGUGGUAUGAGAUGGACCCGCGUCUGAUUAGCUUGUUGGCGGGGUAACGGCCCACCAAGGCGACGAUCAGUAGCCGGCCUGAGAGGGUGAUCGGCCACAUUGGGACUGAGACACGGCCCAA
RNAcentral lists this ribosomal RNA (223 nucleotides) under uncultured bacterium. RNAcentral's name for it is "partial 16S ribosomal RNA". It matches the Rfam family "Bacterial small subunit ribosomal RNA", at positions 111 to 334 of the family's 1533-position model. The record is from RNAcentral.